This 324-nucleotide long non-coding RNA is filed under the name Mus musculus (house mouse). RNAcentral's name for it is "long non-coding RNA chr7:80907824-80908148". The record is from RNAcentral. Lineage: Eukaryota; Metazoa; Chordata; Mammalia; Rodentia; Muridae.
CCACUCUCCAAAGGCCGAAACAGAAGUAUAGUGCCCAUUUGAUAGGAAGAUGAAGUUCAGGUUGUCCAAGGACACCACAAAGGUCAGCAGAUUAGCAAGGCGGUCCAGGUGCACAGAAGGCAAUGUGUCAUCUACACUGAAAAGGUGUGGCCCGGAAAGAGUAAUGGCAUAACCGUCCACGUGGGCAUCCACCCCAGCACGGUGGGGAUCGGCAGGCUAAAGUGACAAAGACAGAAAAGAAAUCCUAGAAGGAAAAGCCAGUGCUGCCCAGCAGGAAAGGAGAAGGGCAAAUACAAGGGUGAUGAAGAAGAUGCAGGGGAGGAA